Molecule: long non-coding RNA, 765 nt
Organism: Oncorhynchus tshawytscha (Chinook salmon)
Lineage: Eukaryota; Metazoa; Chordata; Actinopteri; Salmoniformes; Salmonidae
Source: Ensembl
GAACAAUGUUGUAACUGCAGUGAACCAAAACAGUUGCGCACCGGAGGGAAACAAAAUCAUUAUUCUUGAGGCAAUAGGGAAGGGGCAGCAAUGGGAGGGAAUACUUCACAUGAUGGUGCUGCUUCACAUGCCUACAGCCAUAAUGACAGCCAUAAUGACAGCCACAAUGACAGCCAUAAUGACAGCCAUGAUGACAACCGUGUUGACAAAAGUCAACACAUAACAGGCCAAAAUAUAUCAGGCCAAAAAAUAUCAGGCGAUAUGAAAGGCAAUUUUACCAUUGGCAACCAGACCAACACCACCAGUAAUUCCGCUUCACCAAAAACUCCCCCAAAAACUGUCGUACCCAGCAUCACCAUUGCCAACGUUACAGGCGGCAAAGUGCGUCUCUACUACAAGUCAGAGGAGAUGGCUCUCAGUGACCUCAUCAAGGGAAGUCAUCUCAGCAAGGGGGACUCCAUUAUCAUCCUGGAUGGCACCGUUAAGACGACCAACCUCCCUCAGAGCCUCUAUGUCACUGGCUUCCAAGUAGAAAAUGACAAUACUCAAUCAUGUCCUGAGGAAGGCCCAAUUUAUGGUCUGGACAACCUCCUGGCAGAGUAUGAUGACGGUCACCCCAAGUCCUACAUCCUCACUGCCGACAAAGGGGUGAAGGUAGCUGAAACAGGAAAGAUCUGGGUGGAUGAGGACGGGGUGGAUCACAACCCCAACAAGUAACGCCACCAGGGACCCUCCUGUAUCUUAACACCCUUUAUUAAUCACAGA